AUUGAACGCUGGCGGCAUGCCUUACACAUGCAAGUCGAACGGCAGCACGGGAGCAAUCCUGGUGGCGAGUGGCGAACGGGUGAGUAAAGUAUCGGAACGUGCCCAGUCAUGGGGGAUAACGUAGCGAAAGUUACGCUAAUACCGCAUACGAUCAAUGGAUGAAAGCGGGGGAUCGCAAGACCUCGCGCGAUUGGAGCGGCCGAUAUCAGAUUAGGUAGUUGGUGGGGUAACGGCUCACCAAGCCGACGAUCUGUAGCUGGUCUGAGAGGACGACCAGCCACACUGGGACUGAGACACGGCCCAGACUCCUACGGGAGGCAGCAGUGGGGAAUUUUGGACAAUGGGCGAAAGCCUGAUCCAGCCAUGCCGCGUGCAGGAUGAAGGCCUUCGGGUUGUAAACUGCUUUUGUACGGAACGAAAAGGUUUGGCCUAAUAAGCUGAGCUCAUGACGGUACCGUAAGAAUAAGCACCGGCUAACUACGUGCCAGCCGCCGCGGUAA
Molecule: ribosomal RNA, 500 nt
Filed under: uncultured bacterium
Lineage: Bacteria
Description: partial 16S ribosomal RNA
Rfam family: Bacterial small subunit ribosomal RNA
Source: RNAcentral